GACGAACGCUGGCGGCGUGCUUAACACAUGCAAGUCGAACGGAAAGGCCCUGCUUUUGUGGGGUGCUCGAGUGGCGAACGGGUGAGUAACACGUGAGUAACCUGCCCUUGACUUUGGGAUAACUUCAGGAAACUGGGGCUAAUACCGGAUAGGAGCUCCUGCUGCAUGGUGGGGGUUGGAAAGUUUCGGCGGUUGGGGAUGGACUCGCGGCUUAUCAGCUUGUUGGUGGGGGAGUGGCUUACCAAGGCUUUGACGGGUAGCCGGCCUGAGAGGGUGACCGGCCACAUUGGGACUGAGAUACGGCCCAGACUCCUACGGGAGGCAGCAGUGGGGAAUAUUGCACAAUGGGCGGAAGCCUGAUGCAGCAACGCCGCGUGCGGAAUGCCGGCCUUCGGGUUGUGAACCGCUUUCGCCUGUGACGAAGCGUGAGUGACGGUAAUGGGUAAAGAAGCACCGGCUAACUACGUG
This 468-nucleotide ribosomal RNA is filed under the name uncultured bacterium. RNAcentral describes it as "partial 16S ribosomal RNA". It matches the Rfam family "Bacterial small subunit ribosomal RNA", at positions 28 to 507 of the family's 1533-position model. The record is from RNAcentral.